RNAcentral lists this long non-coding RNA (1134 nucleotides) under Chlamydomonas reinhardtii. RNAcentral describes it as "long non-coding RNA (CREI_LNC000986)". The record is from RNAcentral. Lineage: Eukaryota; Viridiplantae; Chlorophyta; Chlorophyceae; Chlamydomonadales; Chlamydomonadaceae.
UAUUCCCAACAUCUACCCAACCUACACCCAUGCCUAUUACCCUCACUCAGGCCCCGCUCACGCCAGGCCGCCCCAUGUGCGCCACCCCACAUCAACGCGCCCUCUCAUGCUCCAGCCGCUGCUGCGCUGCUCCUCCACCGCCAGGCCCAGCCAGCCGCGCCACACCUCCAGCCAGCCGCUGCUUCCGGCUCCCAUCGGCUCCACACCACAUGGCUGCUGAAGGCUGCUGAAGGCUGGUCCUAGCUCCUCCUCCUCCUCCUGAGCAGCAGCAGCCAGCGCCCACACGCUCGCUCCCACGCCACCAGUGCUUCAUUACACCAGCAGCACGGCGUUGAUGCAGCCGUCGUUCUCGGGGUUGUUGGUCACCUGCGCGUACUUGCCCCACACCACCUUGCCGCCGGGCGUCACCAGUCCCAGCUCGCUGACGUUCACCUCCAGGAUCGUGCCCUUUGUCACCACGCCCAGCUGCGAGUACAUUUGCCCGUUGGGGUUCUUCUUCACGCCAAUGAUGUCCAGGCAGAAGGUUGCCUUGAGCUCGGGAUGAGUCACGUGCGCCUUGGUCAUGCGCAGACCGGUGGGCCGGAUGAAGCGCUCGUACUUCGGCGGCUUGCGCGUGAAGCCCUGGCCCACGAAGGUCACCUUUGUGAUCAUGCGCUUCCAGCUCUUCUUCAUGCGCUUGCCGCUCUUCAUCACCUUGAACAUCUCGUCCUCGGCGAUGGGCCGCACCUGUGAGGUUUUGGGAAAUAGGGGCGAGGGGAGAAGGGUUUGAGGGGGAAGGGUGGCGUUGGAGAACAUGGCGUGGGGCGUGGCGAGACGGUGUUAACGGGGUGGGGGGGGAGGGGGCAUGGUGGUGGUCGGGCACCUGGCGAGCGCCCCUGCCCUCCGCGCUUCAUGCGCCUGCUUCCACUGCUGGUGCGGCUAGUAACCUAUAUUAUGGUGGGGCUGCUUGGAGGCAAGCGGCUCGUAUGCUGCCCAAAGCGCCACGUAAGUCAGCCGAUUGCCAAAACCCUACCCCGAGCCCACAUGCCCCGCAACCGUCUUCUCACCUGCGGCAGAGGCACCUCCCACUUGCCCGCCUUCUCCUUCCGCUUCUGCUUGAUGGUGUUGCUCAGGACCUUGGCGCGGUCCACCUGC